This 616-nucleotide unclassified non-coding RNA is filed under the name Hevea brasiliensis (rubber tree). Lineage: Eukaryota; Viridiplantae; Streptophyta; Magnoliopsida; Malpighiales; Euphorbiaceae. The record is from RNAcentral.
CUCUUUUAGCAUCAAGUUUUCCUUCUGUACACUCUGUUCUGUAUCUUCAGCAGCAUGCUUACUGAUAGACCUCUCCAAAAUCUCCAGCACCCUUGAGGCACGGGCUCUGGCAUCAUCAACACUCGUAGCACUCAUCAUUUCCCUCACAAACAAGUCCACCCACUCUGCACCAUUCACAGGAAGGUUGCUUGGCAUUGAUUUAUUGUCAGAAGCCGUAGCAUCUCCAUCAUUGGGCAGUGUACCUUGCUCCACAUUUAUGCUAGCUUCUUCAGCAGAACCUGAAUUAUGCUCUGCAGAUUCUAAACAGUGCUCAUUCAGGCUCUUGAUGGCAGAGUCCAAAUCAUUACAAGAUUCUUCCAGUGCUCCCUCAAGAAGCAGAGAAUCGAGGUGCGGGAAAAGAACUUUGAGCUGAUGGAGAGGCGAGGGAGGAGAGAAGCGAACAGGGGAAGUAGAAGAGGAACUGCAGCGCAGCCUUUUGGAAACGGAAGGCGAGGGAAGGUCCUCCAGAAAGAAGGAUCUCUUGCUUCCGCAAACUACCGCUGACAUUUCCGGCAAAUUCUAGGGUAGGCUGAUCGAGUUUGGCUUGUGGAUUAGGUCUGUUGGUUCUGCUUUUGGG